GACGAACGCUGGCGGCGUGCUUAACACAUGCAAGUCGAACGGAAAGGCCCUGCUUUUGUGGGGUGCUCGAGUGGCGAACGGGUGAGUAACACGUGAGUAACCUGCCCUUGACUUUGGGAUAACUUCAGGAAACUGGGGCUCAUACCGGCUAGGAGCUCCUGCUGCAUGGUGGGGGUUGGAAAGUUUCGGCGGUUGGGGAUGGACUCGCGGCUUAUCAGCUUGUUGGUGGGGUAGUGGCUUACCAAGGCUUUGACGGGUAGCCGGCCUGAGAGGGUGACCGGCCACAUUGGGACUGAGAUACGGCCCAGACUCCUACGGGAGGCAGCAGUGGGGAAUAUUGCACAAUGGGCGGAAGCCUGAUGCAGCAACGCCGCGUGCGGGAUGACGGCCUUCGGGGUGUAAACCGCUUUCGCCUGUGACGAAGCGGGAGUGACGGUAAUGGGUAAAGAAGCACCGGCUAACUACGUG
Molecule: ribosomal RNA, 468 nt
Filed under: uncultured bacterium
Lineage: Bacteria
Description: partial 16S ribosomal RNA
Rfam family: Bacterial small subunit ribosomal RNA
Source: RNAcentral